This 119-nucleotide ribosomal RNA is filed under the name Pteropus alecto (black flying fox). Lineage: Eukaryota; Metazoa; Chordata; Mammalia; Chiroptera; Pteropodidae. The record is from RNAcentral.
GUCUACAGCCAUGCCACCCUGAACAAGCCCGAUCUCAUCUGAUAUCAGAAGCUAAGCAAGGUCGGGCCUGGUUCGUACUUGGAUAGGAGACCACCUAGGAAGACCAGGUGCUAUAGGCG